Long non-coding RNA from Capsicum annuum, 4672 nucleotides. RefSeq lists it as uncharacterized. Lineage: Eukaryota; Viridiplantae; Streptophyta; Magnoliopsida; Solanales; Solanaceae. The transcript is spliced from 6 exons. The record is from RefSeq and is a predicted model, not a curated record.
AAUUGCUAAGCAAAAUUUUUUACUUUCCUGUAUAUAUACAUUUUUCUAUUUUACUAAUUUAUUUUGCAUAUGGAUGUUGAAUGUGUUUGUUAUUUCGACAUAACAGUCAUUGAUCCGUGAAGUUAUUUUAUAAUGUAGUUGAUUUAUGUGUUUGUGUGCCUAAUUACUUUUAUGUGUAUUCUGAUAGCUUGGUCCUCCAAAUAAAUUUCCAGGUCCAGUUAUCUAUCAGGGGGUUGCUAGAGCACAACUGAUUGUAACCUUUCUUUACUGUGUAAACAGCCCCACUAUGACACCCCCAUUUCAUAUGGCCAUCUGUCUGAAGAUUGAUGUGACACUAUUGUAGUCUUGCUAAAAGAUCUAAUUCACUUCCCAAUCAUGCAUGUUUCUUCUGAAUGUUGGUCCCAAUUGUUCUCUUCUUUAUUAGCAGAGAUUAUAGAGUCAGGAUCUUGAGCUAUUCUAUACAAGAUAGGGAAGUCAUCCUGAAAAGUGGUACUUCCAAGUCAUUUGUCCUUCCAGAAUCUUAGAAGUGAGCCAUUACCCACCUAGAAGUGAGUCUGUUGAACAAAAGUGUCCCAUAAUUUUCUAAUACCACUCCAAAGACCUAAUCCAUAAGGGAGAGUGGAAAUCUCUGACCACCAGUGAUCCAUCACUCCAUGUUUGGCUAUGACAACUUCAUUCCAGAACCCUGCAUCCUUCAAAUUAGAUCUCCAAAGCCACCUAAUCAUCAUGUUUUUGUUAUGAGCUAUAAGAUCCUUGAUUCCAGGACCUCCUUAAUUUUUUGGCUGAGUCACCUUCUUCCACUUGAUGAGAUAAAAUUUGUGGUCCUCUUCAUUAUUGGGGCUUUAAGCGCAAAGGGUUUUAAUGAAAAAGGCACAAAGGGAGAAAAAAAUACAAAUAUAUGUAUGUUAGUCCAAGACUAAUAAUUUAAGUAUGAAUGACAAAUAUAUGAACAAAAAAUUGAAAAAGAUAUAUGAUAAAAUGAUCAAUUUUUAGUGCCAUCUCUUCAAAAGAGGUUUAUUGACAGUGAAUAAUAUGUCUUAGAACCUUGAUGAUGACACUGAAGCACACAUUAAGCGAGAUAAAGCGCUAAACACGUUUUGAGCCUCACUUUAGGGCUCAAGUAUGCCUUUGUCAACAUGUGGUUUUUGCAUGCUUAAGAAAGAUGUGUUUUCACUUUUAAUGGGCUUUGUUUUUUUUCUGGCUUAGCAGAAUAGGAAAUAAAAGAGACAGAGGUGUUUGUUGGUGGUUUGGCCUAUUACUACUGAAAGCAAAAUUUGUGAGCAUGGCCUGCUGAAAUUAAGGCGCGAUACGUGGAUAUGGAUACUUUAGAGACGUGUUUGCUCAAGGUUACUGUUACCGCAAAUCUAGGCAUGCUCCUUACCCCUGUUGCUAGAUAUAUCUAUAGUUUUCGGUUAGCUGGUAUUCUGCUAAUCUUAUCUUACUUCCAUAGUCGCAAAUCUGAAGGACUGGACACUAACCUCACAGUAAUUACUUUUCAAAUAUUUAUGGCCCGCUUCAUAUCUGGUUUACUCAUUGGAAUUGAUGAUUUCUUUUGUGCUGUUGGAGCUGCUAAAAUUCAUGUAUCUAGGUCAGCUUUCCUUGUUUCAACUAGGCUCAUUUUCUCGGUGGGCAUAGGGGAGCAAAUUGGUGACAAAAUUUUGUUUUGGUAUUUUUAACUAUAAGAAUCUAUUACAUGGUGAAUUUGCACAAACCAUUUCUUGUGAUGUAUUCUUUUGAGUGGACUAAAUGAUUAGCAAUGAUCUUCAAUCAAUGCUCUGGAUUGGAAAACAUAACAUGCAUCUUUAGUUAUAGAAUUGUUAUCACACAACCCUCUAAUGGAAUUGACGCGAAAGUAUGUUUCACUUUACGGUGGAUAUACUCUUUCAUUGUUGCAUUGCUCUACUUGAACCUUGAGGACGAGGUUCUUAGAAAGGAGGGAGGAUUACAGACGCAUACUCUUACAGGUUUGUUAGAUUGUUCAAUUAUAAAAUUGGAACACUCAUACUCGUUUACAGCAAUAAACUAGGCAAAUUGCAAAGUCGCUUGGAUAUAGAUCGGAGAUCAGUUUUCUAGUUGCACUCUAUUCUGUAUGUUCUUUAUUCGGGCUCCUGCUUUCAACCACCCCAAAUUUUCUUUAUGAGUAAGUAUUUAUGAGGUUCUAUCAGAAACAACCUCUCUAUAUUUAUGAGGUAAGGGGUACGAUCUGCGUAUGCUUUGCCCUUCCCAGAUCCCACUUGUGGGAUUGCACUGGGUAUGUUAUUGUUGAUGCUCUGAACUUCUUCUACUUGAAAUACAUUCAUUUUAAUCAAGACAUCAUUGGCUUACUAUCGUUGAUCGGUCCAAAUAUAUUAUUAGGGCUAAAAAAACUUACAGGUGUUGUGGAUCUUACUACUCACUUCAAGUUAUUGCCUCAUCACGAGUUCUUCUGCAAGAAACCGCUUCCAUUGUCAAUUUCAGAUACACACUAACUUCACAAUGUGGUGGAUUAAUUAUAAUCUAAAAUUUUUUCUUGUUGAACAAUUUACUAGAAUGAAUCUUCAACAAAAGAUGAUAGAUGGGAUGUGGAUCGUUAUAAUCGUCCAGAAAAGAAAAGUGCCCAUUUCUCGUCAUAGAGACUGCUUAAGGAGAAAUAUGUGAAAAAUGAAGAAACAGAGGUUAUGUGAAGAAUUUGCUGAAUAUCCUGAGACAAUAUUCCAAGAAAAUUUUGUUUCCGUUUAUCAGCUUUGAAGUGGCAUCCUGAUAAGCAUCAAAGCCCUUCACAGAUAUGAAGUCAGAAGUUAUAACACUGAGGUUGAUAUCUAGUUCAGCAAGGAAAUUGGUCGACCUUGUACUCUAUUAAGGAAUUCCGGUUCCCAGAGUCACUCCUGCAUAGAUAGGAAUGGCAGUUCUGGCAUGUGCAGGGAUGUUGGCGCUAGAUUAAAUUUUGUUAACGGUACCCAAUUUCUGUCAUCUGUAGAAAGCAUAGUUGACCUCAAAUCUAGGCUGAAAUCAAGUAUGUUUUCUUAUCUUCUCCCUUUCUAGUAGAGAAUAGUCUCUCUUUCUCAUAUUGAACUCUUCUGGAAUAGAAACAUAAGGAAAUUAGAGAUUGCACCCAAUACAAUUGGUCAAUUUAAGGAUGUUCCUCGAAGUUGAGUGCAUCAUAACUUACAAACCAUAUUAUACACUAAUUGGAGUGUCGUUGGUAUGCCUCAAACUUUGAGUUUGCUGCUACCAAAUGCCGGCAACUUCAACUGUAAGAGUCGCCAUAGAGUUUUCGACUCUUUGCUAUUGGGAAAGAAGUGAAACAGAAUUUCAGCAACCUCUCUACUAUAUGAAAGGUAUCCUAUAUCUCAGUUUUUCUCAAGUUUCUGUAAAUCUUCUAGAAAUAAUAUCAUCACAAACAUGUGAAAACUCUUCGGGUAUUGAAGUCAUUGAGAUCUCUGCGUGCAAGGAGUUAGUGUCAUGCAGGCUGGUGGAAUGGUCAUCGAUAAGCAUUUGGAGUUGAGGGCUUCUCUAUUUAAUGAUCAAAAUGUUUAAAUAGGUGUUGUUGUACAACAUUUGACCUCAUGUGCAACAGUACGUUUGUUCUUAUUAAUAUAUCGAUGUUAAAUGCCCAAUCUCAAACUUCAGAAAAAACUCAGCUUUGCACUUAAGCCAGAAUACCAUCAAGAAAAAGAAGCUCAAUUUGAGUAGUGAAACUAAUUGUCGCGAAAAUAUAUAAGAAAGCUGAAUGAAUUAUGUACGAAAACUUCUUCUUGACAUGGUUACUUCUCAUGUCCGAAAAUAUACAUGGAACUAUUGACUCUCUGUUAUGAUGGGAAAGAAGGAAGUGAAAUAAAAGGUUGGCGACCUCUGUACUAUAUUGAUAUCCUAUAUCACAGUUUUUUCAUGUUUUUGUAAAUCUUCAGGAAACAAAGUUAUCGAGAAAUUUCAAUAGAAAGUGGGAUUUUUGCAUGCAAAGAGUUUGAAUUAUGAUGUUGGGCUGUGGAACUCACGUGCACCAAGAAUCAGCCAUUGACAAUCAUUUAGAGUUGAGAUGCUUCUGUAUCUAAUAAUCAACUUGUUCGAAUAGGUGGCACCUUGAAGUCCAUUAAGUGCACAGGAUUGAUGAGCUUAACAAAGAAGAGAAGUUUGUUUCAAAGUUUGUUAUCGAGCUGCUACUCUUGUUAUUUAUUUGUCGUGAGUACAAUCACCUAGAGGGAUUGGAUCACAAAGUCUAAUGCAGGAAGCUUUGGAUAGGGAUGAAGAAUGAGUUCCUCGGAGUUAUUCAAAUGUGGUUAGAGCAGCGUAGACAUAUCACCAUGGAGUCUUCCUAAAUUGCCAAAGAGGAAUCCACUAUCCAUUUUACGUAGAGCAAAACAUAUGGAGGAACUCCCGAUAUAACAGUAAAAGCAAGAUGUGCAGCCCUUUAUGUGAGGCUAGUUGCCAAGAAAGGUGCAACUAACAAAGAACAAGAUUAUCAAAUUACUUUAAAGCAACAUGAUUUGAUUAGGCCAAUGUGAUUUGAUGAAAGUCUCAACUGAACUCUUCGUGAAUGUUAAAAGAAAUUGAGUAGAUAAGCAUUUGUGGCUAAAACUUACAAUAUGAUAGCUUCAAACUUUAAUUAAUUUGUUGAUCAUAUUCAACGUCAGUCUACUUAAAAUAUUUUUCACAUGUACAAGAUUAACACACUGACUUUAUACCUUUCGAAAAA